Molecule: long non-coding RNA, 416 nt
Organism: Zea mays
Lineage: Eukaryota; Viridiplantae; Streptophyta; Magnoliopsida; Poales; Poaceae
Exons: 3
Source: RefSeq, a predicted model, not a curated record
CUGGGAGGCAAGAAAGGUGGCAAGGGAUAAAUUGAAGAAGAAAGUCGCUACAUACAAAAUGGGACUUGUUGACAAACUCAAAGCUAAGCUCCAUGGCUAGGGACAUGUGCACAUAGGUGAGAAUGGAAGCAUUCGCUGCACUUGGUAAAAUUCAACGAGUUUCUGAGGGUGUUUUGCUACAAUCGCUAGAAAAGAAGGUCAUGAAAACUGACAGGAUGGGUGUUUCUAUCAUCAACGGGCAAAAAUUACCUCCUAAACUAAAAAUUCCCUGUGCUGCUGGGAUUUUUUUCCCAUGGAGUUGAAGAUGAAUUUACGAGGUGAGAAGAACUGCCUGCAAAUUAUUAGGAGCGCUGGCAAAGUUUUCUACUCAGUACACGGAGAAGGCCUUGGACUUGUUGAUGGACAUGAUGAAUGAU